AGCAGCCGCGGUAAUUCCAGCUCCAAUAGCGUAUAUUAAAGUUGUUGCAGUUAAAAAGCUCGUAGUUGAAUUUCGGGAUCAUCAGGUUGGUCGUGCCUUCGGUAUGUAUUUGCUUCGGUGGUCCCUCCUUCUUGAAGAACCGUAAUGACAUUAAUUUGUUGUUGCGGGGAAACAGGACUGUUACUUUGAAAAAAUUAGAGUGUUUAAAGCAGGCAAUCGCUUGAAUACAUUAGCAUGGAAUAAUGAAAUAGGACGUUCGAUCCUAUUUUGUUGGUUUCUAGGAUUGACGUAAUGAUUAAUAGGGAUAGUUGGGGGCAUUAGUAUUCAAUUGUCAGAGGUGAAAUUCUUGGAUUUAUUGAAGACUAACUACUGCGAAAGCAUUUGCCAAGGAUGUUUUCAUUAAUCAAGAACGAAAGUUAGGGGAUCGAAGACGAUCAGAUACCGUCGUAGUCUUAACCAUAAACUAUGCCGACUAGGGAUCGGAUGAUGUUAAUUUUUAAUGACUCAUUCGGCGCCUUAC
Molecule: ribosomal RNA, 520 nt
Filed under: uncultured Glomus
Lineage: Eukaryota; Fungi; Glomeromycota; Glomeromycetes; Glomerales; Glomeraceae
Description: SSU rRNA
Rfam family: Eukaryotic small subunit ribosomal RNA
Source: RNAcentral